AUCACAAGAUAUACAUUACCAUCCCCAAAUGUCCAGAUGAGGAAACACUGGACCAAAGCCAGGACCAAACACCAGCCAAGCGAACUCCAAACUGCAUGUCCAUGUCUGAUGUCAGAUCUCCAACUCCUUUCAUCUUUGUUGACGGCAACAAACUUCUUUGUCCUGGGCUGGUUCCGCUCCGUUAGCAGCUUUCCUCAGCAGGUAGCCCACGGCUCUGGCAUCUGGAACAUCUUGGAGUCUCCAAGGCAGCUUCAACUUCAUACCUUCUUAUUCCAGUGUCUGGAAUCCACACAUGGUCUAGCCUUCUCCGAAGGGCGUAGGUCAGCUCUCCAGAGCUGCCCUCUGUAGCACACUGGUUGACUCCACUUCGCUGCUCCUGCUGUUGGUGAUCACUCUAUGGUACUGGCAUCUCCAGUGCACCAGAGACUUCCACUGCAACUAGACUUCCCCAAUAGCCACUCACAGGCUCUCUUCAUGGUGCCAAGCCUCAGCUGCUCUCCAUGACCUUCUCAUACUCUCAAAACCAGUACCACCUGGGUGGCUCUUAAACAUUACCAAGUCCUGCAGCAUGAGGUACAACCUUGGCUAGAAAAGACUUCCCCAGAAGAUUUCACCUCCAUGAUACUGGUCUCUUCUUAAUCACCACUAAUUUUUACGCUUGGCUGUCCUGGAACUUGCUCUGUAGAUUGGCCUUGAACUCGGUGGUCUGUAUUGCUAUUUCUCCUGAAUGCUGAGAUUAAAAGUCUGUACCACCUUGCCU
Molecule: long non-coding RNA, 760 nt
Filed under: Rattus norvegicus (Norway rat)
Lineage: Eukaryota; Metazoa; Chordata; Mammalia; Rodentia; Muridae
Description: long non-coding RNA NONRATT011004
Source: RNAcentral